This is a long non-coding RNA of Brassica rapa (field mustard), 10626 nucleotides long. RefSeq lists it as uncharacterized. NCBI's taxonomy places the organism in Eukaryota, Viridiplantae, Streptophyta, Magnoliopsida, Brassicales, Brassicaceae. The record is from RefSeq and is a predicted model, not a curated record.
UGGGGGGGGGGGGGGGGGGUGUUAAUUUGGUUUUAUAGGCUUAGAAAGUCAUUCUGGUCUUUGGUUUAUAAUCUGUUCGAUAAUAUGUAAACAACAAAGACUGCAUGCCUAAUAUAACUUCAAAACAUGAACAUUUAAACUAGCUAGAUAACUAAUAAGAUUCCAGUGUAUAAGUUUUCUCCACUGGAAAGUCAUUCAUAAGAAUCCUAAAGGAGACUAAACAAAGUCAAUACGCGUUUUAAAAGUAGACGUGAUAUUAUACCCGUUUACUCGAUUUAAACAAAAAUCGAGCAUACUUUUUUUUUUUUUUUUUGGUAAAAAUGUUAAGAUAUUAUUACCAAUUUUCAAGUUUUUGACAGAAAUACAAAGGCGACAAAAAAUGGAGAAACGAAAAUCAAAGACCUAAACACCAACUCGAGACAGACUAAUACAGGGAUAGACACAACAAGCAACACCCACUGACCGGCAGCCUCGACUAAUCCACACAACCACUUGCCGCAAAAGGAAGAACCACAAUUAUAACGAGAGUCAGAACCCGGUAAUUUUGGCCUCCCCGAUGAUCCGCUCUUAAAGAUUGGUUCAACCAAGAACAGCUCGAGGAAGGUAUCAACAAGACCGAGCAUUUAUUGAAUGCCAAGCCCCGAAGGAGCCACACGAAAAACCUGCACAAAACGGGGUGAGAAGCAGCCACAUCUCUACCCUAGACACACCAGACCAAGACAUUCAAGCCGGAUGAACACACCCACAAGACACAGAGACGCCCGGGCGUUAAGGGUCAAGCGCUGGGAUGAUGGGUUCAAUCACAUGGAGACACGUCCUAUCCGAAUGACCAACCCGGAUAGGAGAGUCACAACACAGACCGUUCUUGAGAACCAGAGAACUGGCCGACUCGAAUCGGAACAAGAAUAGGACACCGAAGAACAGCCGAAGAACGGCACCGGAGAGAACUCGAUGAGUUUCACGCAGGAAACUAGAACGAGCGCUAAGGGGAGAAACCAUGACCAGAGAAGGACAAGCAGGAAGCCGACGCAAAGGUUCCAAGCCCAAGCCAUAGACGACUUAUAGUUGGAGACCAAAGACGCCGAGCACACGCUCAACAAAGUUUGCUAGAGACGACACACGACGCAUCCCGCAAGACCACAAACGUGCUGAUGGAGAAGAACUACACCGCACCAACUGAACAGAGGAUAACAAUAACCGCCCUUCGACGAGACACCACGCCAAAGGAGAAGCCACGCGCCACCGCUCAUCACCGUCGGGACAACGAGAAGAGCCGGGAGACACAAAUAAGAACAGAUCCCGAACGGAGAAGCCCUCACACAAGAACACGCGCCACAAAACAACCGGGAGUCGCCGUAGAUCUAAGAUUGAAAAACGACCAUCGAACAAACCCCAGCCCCAAGAGCCGACCCUAACCACCACCACCGCUACACCUACCUCACCGUAUCACCAGAGACGCAAGAUGACCACCGGUUUCAGCCUAGGUUCUUCCGCCGGCGGAGCUCGAAGCCCCAGAGACACAAGUAUAUCGGAGGCAGCCAGAGGAAGAGAAAAGAGCAAAGGAGGAAAACAAGAGAGAAGAGGAGAGGAUGCCCUCCGACCGGCGAAAGGACAGCCGCACCGGAAGCGAACGGUGGUUACGAUUUGUUUUUUACUUUUGGCUAAUAGAGAGAGAAGAGAGGUUUUUCUUUUUUCAAUUCAAAUCGAGCAUACUUUCAGUGGUUAUUCUAUAUCCCUCCAAUUUUCUUUCCUCCAUCAUUACCAUUUUCUCCCUAUUCUAUGGUAUCCCACCUUUGUUAGUAUAUUGAACUAAUUUGCUCUUUUAUUUCACACCUUAUCUAAGAGUUGACUUCUAAAAAAACUAAGCUUUGACUACAUUUACUCUAUUCAAAACUAAAAGUACUAAAAUGAAACUAAAAGGUAAUUAACUGUCUCAUAUAUAAAAUGGACUACUUUUACUUUCUUUAUUUGCUGAGAUUACUGUACUUUUUAUUGGCAAAUAUUUCCUCCGUUUCGAAAUAAUCAUGUUUUAGAAAAAGAUACUUCGAAAAUACCUUUUUACAUUUUAUUAGAUAAUAAUAAUAAAAUGUAAAUUUUGAAUGAGUUAAUUGUGUUUAUUAAAUUUUAAUUGACUAAAAUUAUAUUAAAAAAAUCACAAAACAAUGAAUUUUCAACAAAAAAAAUGAAUUUCUAAUUAAAUUUUAAGAAAUUUUCUUAAUAUAUGUGAAUAUUCCCAAAACCUACAAUUUAUUAAAACGGAGGAAGUAGUUUUCAAAAACAGAAAAAAAAAUAUAUACAUAAAACCUUUCAUGGUAUCAGAAACAGUGCUUAAUAAAUUAAGGUGAAAUUGUGAAAAUAAAAUGUUUUAUUGCUAAGAUAUAUAUUAGCUGAAAAUUACUAUCAAGCCAUUUUCUAAAAAUCGGACGCCUAGCCGCCUAGGCAGCCACCUAGUCGCUAGGCGUCACUCAUCCGCCUCGAUUUAUACCUGAUCGGUCUAAAAAUCGGAUGUUCAGUUUUUAUCCGCCUAGACCGCCUAGAUGACCGCCUAACCGCCUAAUCCUUUUUCUAUUAUUAUUAUAUUUUUUAAAAAUAUUUUUUAUCUAUAUAUUUGAUUUAAAAUUUGAUAAAUAUAAUUUAUAUUCAUAAUUUUGAUGAAAUUACACUAUAUUAAGCUUAUAUAUUAUAUUUGUGUGUUUAUACAGUCCUAAACAUGAACAUUUAUUAAUGUUAUAAACAAUUAAAGAUUAACAUGUUUUAUAACAUAUUAAACAAUCUAAAAAUUUCGCCCCGCAAAAUUUCAGCUUAGUUCCCUAUUUUCUCUCUAGGCGCUAGGUCCAACCCGCCCGCCUGACUAGUGCGUUCCCGAACAGAGAUCAAGUAUCUGGUUGCGCUAAGCCGGUUAUACUGGCAGAGUUAAUUACUUUAGCAAAUACAUGUCUGGUAGUAUUAAGUUACUAACUACUGUAGUCUAUAAGUUACUAGUAAGAAAAAUCACAUAAAAAAAUCUUGAAAGUAUCGACUACUAACAUUUAAAAUUUUGAAGUUUUUUCACUAAUAUUUUUAACUUUCAAAGUGAUAUUUAUAUUAUAAAAAAUAUUUGAAGUUGACCGGCUGAACAAGUAAAAUAAUAAUGUGUCAGUUUUGUUUUCAAAAAUAAUUAUCUAAUUAAUAAAAUUAUAAAUUAUAAAAAAUCAGAACUAAAUAAAAAUCAGAAAAAUUUAACAAAAACUCAAAAAAUUAAAUAAUAAUUCAGAUUUUUUAAAUUAGAAAACUAAAUAAAGAUUUAGAAAAUUAAAUUAAAAAAAAAAUAAAAAAUAAGAUGAAAUUAAAAAUACAGAAAAACUAAAAACAAAUCAUAAAUUUCAAAAAAAUUGAAAAUUCAAAAAAGUUUUUUUUUUUGUUAUUUUCAACUAUAAUGUCAAAAAUUAUCAUUGGUGAUAUGCCGGAAAUCAUUAUUGGUGAUUUAGGCUUUGAUUAGUAGAACAUUAGCAUUAAGAUUAUGCUAUACUUUAUAAAUAUUUAUUUAUUUUUCUGUUUUUAAUUAAUCUGAUUUUUUUUAUUAAUUUUUAUUUAAUUUUCUGAUUUUUUAUUUAAUUUUCUGAUUUUUUUUUAUUUUUAUUUUAUUGAUUAAAUAAUUAUUUUUUUGAAAAAACUUAACACAUCAUCUUUGAAAUUUUUUUUAAAAUAAUUAGUUCAACUUUUUAUUUUGGAGAUUCUUUAUGAUAUAAAUAUCACUUUGAAUGUUAAAAGCGUUAGUGAAAAAACUUCAAUUUUUUAUGUGAUUUUCCCUACUAGUAGUGAUGAAUAUCUCUUUCUUUGGUAUGAAUUGCUAGCAAAAGAAAGAAAAUAAAUCUACUUUAUGUUAAGCUAAUAAAUUAAUCAAGAAACACUUUAAUUAGUUAAUAGAAUACCUUAAAGCCCACAAAAAUCAUGAUGUCCCCUUUUGGUAACGCAUGCUCUACCUUCCCUUUCCCUUUACGCAUUUUAUCUAUUUGAUUUAUUGAUGACCAGUUUUGCAAACUGAUGUAUCAAUUUACUCUCUUAAGCCAUGAAUGUAGGUAUCGAAACAAAACUCAUAAGAUAAACACCAUGAAAUAGAACGUCAUCAUAAAAAGAAGGGAAAAACAGCAUGAAUUGGCGUGGAAUAAAAUGACAAUCCAAAUGUUAAAAAGUAAAUUAAAGUUAUGGAAUUUAACGUAUUUUUUUAGUAAUCCGAAUAGCAAAACAAUUUUUUAAAUGCAGUUAUUAGUUCAAUUGGAUUUACAUAUGAUUUUUGCAUAUACAGUAGAAAUUUUAUAAAUUAAUACUUGGUAUAUUAAUAAACACGAUAAAUAAAUAAGUUCCAUUGGUGCCAAGUUAAACUGGAUCAAAAUAUGACGCAAAUCAUAAGAUAAUAAGAUAAUAACAAUUUAGAAAAUUACGCGUAUAUAGUUUCAUUAAAAUUUUAAAUUAAUAAUUUAUAUUUAUACAAUGUAUAUCUUAUUAAUUAUUUAAAUUUAUAACAAUUUAAAAAAUUACGCGUAUAUAGUCACAUUGUAUUGUUUGUUUUAUAUUUACAAUAGAUUUUUUUUCAUUUUUUUCUUAAGAUUUCAUAAUAUUUUGAUUAUAUUUAAUAAAAUCAUAUCUGAAACGCAUUAAAAUUGUAUGAUACAUAUCUCAUAUAUAUCAAAUAAUAUAAUAAAAAUGAUAUGAAAGUUGAAUUUAUAAAAUUUAGUAAAUAUAUAAACAGUGAAACCAACUAUUUUUCUUAUUUUAGAAAAAAAAUUAUAUUCUCAAAUAUAAAAAUCUAAAAAAUAUUUUAAUAAAUUAGUAACUCUAUAAAUUAAUAAAAUAUGAUAAUCCAACAUUAUUAGUUUAUAGAGUUUAGGUUUUUACUGUAUGUGUGUUAUGAAAAAAAAUGACAGCAGCCACAUCCAAUUUUACUUAAUCUGCUUUUUUUUUUUUGAAACUUUGAACUUAAUUACUCAAUCUGCUUGUUUUUAAGAUAUUUUGAGUCUAUUAAAUAAUGUAGUUUAAUUUUUAGAGUAGAUGUCUUCCAAUUAAUAGACUUAUCUAUAAGGUCAUUUUAUCGUUGGUUACCUAAUUUGCUUUCUUGCACAUAAUAUCAGAAUCACACGGUAAAAUGGUAACAAAUUAUGGUCAACCCAAAACAAAUCUAACCUAUACUAAAAGGGUUAUAUGAGCAUCAGAGAGUGUGUCCACGUAAGACAAUUAAAUCAUCCAAUCAGAGAACAGCUCUCCGCCACGUCAUAUACGCAUGACAAAUUCUAAUUUCCCCAAAAUCGAAUCUCGAUCCCUUUCUCUUCGUCUUCUCCGUCUGCUAUUUUAGAUCGAAACCAACUUGCUCGACUGGUCUUGCAGCGACGAAUCACCCGCGAGGCAUAGUCUUAUCUUCCGCGGUUUGAUCCCUGUGCUGUACGCAGGGUCGGCAAGAGCCUCGCACGAUGAAUCGACAGAAGAAGCUAUUGAGUUUGCGACUCAGCAGGGGAAAGAGAAGGAGCUAUGCAAGACUGGAGACUCCGUUGUUGCUCUACUCCGAGUUGGGAACGCUUCCCUAAUCAAGAUCUUGACCGUUAAGUGAUGAUGAUUAGGAAAAAUCCCGUUUUUGGCGUCUGGCGUUUGGAAGAAACGCAACUAUAUACGUUUUUCUUAAUAUGAAUUUUGUUCAAGAUUUGUGAUUAAAAUCUUGAGAUAGAAAACUCUAAUUCUCUUUCUUGAUAAUUACAACUGUGGUGACCCGUGUGAAUCCACUUACGGUUUUUUUUCUUCUGGAUACUCAGGUGGUUGUAUGGAACUAAUGAAUCGUACACGUAUCUCUACUAUAAUGACUUUUUUUUGUUUUUUUGUUUUGUUUUGGUGAAGUUUGAUGCUUUGGUUGCAGCCUUUCCGUUAUCAGACUGAGGUGAAGAAACUCAGUUGAAAAGAAUUGUUGAACUCCUGGUAAUAUAUGUCUCACUCACUGAUAAGUUGAGCUCGAUAAAUAAAUCAUUGCAUGUUCCCUUCUAUGCUAUUUUUCUUCAGGUGGAAAAUGAUGUUAUUGGCCAAGAGCUCUCUAACGAUUUACAUCUAUUCUGAUCCAACUGCUGCGGAACGUUUGUAUCGAAGAAAGAUGUCAUGUAGAAAAAGGUAUGUUAAACAGUUUACUCUCUCCUUAUAUUCUAAACUAAAACCUCGGAAUAUAAUUUUAGUUGUUUAUCUUUGUUUUAUUUCAGUCAUCAGCUGGGCAAGCACAAGGUUUAACAACCACUAAACCACUCAGUUGAGACAGUAGGAUCUCUUUCGUGUUGAUCAUACAAGGUCUGUUGCUAGGCUGAGAUUUUUAUAUUUUUCUGUGAGAAUAAAUGGAGUAUGAAAAAAAAUUAACCAAUCCCUAACACUUAUAACAAACUUCACUAUCUCCCUCUCUAUUCGUUACCAACUCAAAUCACUUUUACCAUGUCAUUGAAGCUUGCGAUAUAGAGCUAGAAGACAAAGCCAGAGAAGUAGCACAGCUGAAAACAGAGAGGUAGAGCUAGAGAGAAUUACGAGGCUGAAGCAUGUAGAGGCAGACAUAUCCCCAGCUAAAAGUUAACGAUGCAAAGCGGAGGCUGAUUGGUCGAUUAUUAAGGGCAUGGACAAUAUUCAAACGCUGGAUGCAAAAUUGUUUUCAGUAUUUUAUUUGCUAACGCCACCGUAUGUGCAGGUUGCAGAGUUUAAAUGCCUACUCGGUGUUAAAGCUAAUACCAAAGAAUGAAUACUAUGACAAAAACUCUCCAGCUUCCAAAAGAAUUUGAUGCUACAACCGCUUGGUGACAGUGCACCAGUGUUGGAAGGAUCCUAGGUUAGUCUUAGAUUCCAUUAUCUGUGCCUCUAUUCAUUGUCUUGAAAAAUAUGAUAUACUGGUUCUUCUUCUUAAGUUCUGUAUCUAAUUCUCUCAUUGAGUAUCACACUAAAGAUCACGUAAAAUUUUGCUUGCUAGGUUUUUAUAUUCAUUAGUGUGUUCUAACAAUUUCCAAUUUCCAACUAGACAAAAAUUGAUGAUUGCUAGCAUCUUUCUAUCAGAAAGAUUAAUAUGGUGUCCAAAACAUCAUUUAGAUAGUAAUCGUCUAUACACUUGAGUCUAUGUGGUUUUAUUCCGAAAUCAGUUGUAAGAAGAUACUGUUGUGGUCGCUUCUUUUCAGAGUACUGUAGUAAAGGUUCUUCUCGACAUGUGCAGGUGCUUUUUUAUACAACUAAAUAAAUGUCUAAUACCAACCCGAGGAUGCUGUACAUUGACAAUGUUGAUGAUGAAACAGAAGAUUCCGAGGACGAUUUAGAUGAGAACUUUCAUGGGGAUGACAUGCCUGCAUCCCACUGCAAUGUCGACGAGUUUGACUAGAAAAAAAUUAUCAUUAUUUUUUAUAUCUCUGUUCAGGGGAAGAGAAAGAUUUGGCUCAACAGAUGCCGCCAACAUAUUUUUUUAUCCUUCUUUUCGCUUCGGUACAUCCACAACACAUAUUCUAUAAUUGUUAGUUUGUUUUUCUCUCCUCAGGUCUCAUUCAUCUUCUGUCUAUUUGGAAAUUAAACUUACUGAAGAAGUUGCAAGGGAUAAGCAAAUUUGCUUCUUCUUCAGGAAACAAGUAAGCAUCACCUCCUCUCUGAGAAAUGUUUCAUUGUUUCUUCGACUUUGGAUCAAUUUUCCAGAGAUUUUAACACUUUCACUGAAAUUUUUUAAGGUUAGGUUGCAAGAAACACUGACACCAAAGAAGUUGCUUAUUCUAGCUCUUCAGGAAGCUGAGAGAAAUGGAAAUAGCAUAUAUAUUAUCUGCCUUAUCCGUGAGUACACUUAUGGCUUCCACUCACACUUUAAUUAGUGUUCCAGAAUUAGUUUGGGGCUUUAUGUUAACUGCUAUUGGUUACAGGUGUGGAGAAUUCAGAGGAUGAGGACCAUACUUCUCAGGUAGGUUCUUACAUUACUACUUAACAAUUUUUUUACCUUAGAGCUGAGAACCUUUUUUUAACAAUAUGAACCUUUGUGCCCACGUAUGUAAAAAUAAAUACUGUCCAACCCCUUCUUUUGUUUAGUCAUGUGUUCUCCAAAGUACAAAGUUAUGAAAAGACGUUCCCAUUAUCGAGGAGAUACGUCAUACAUGUUCCAUCUAUCUAUUAUGCUUCCCUCUGGUAUUAGUUUUUUUGUUUCCAUGAUCAGGUGGCUAAGCGUUGAUGCUUUUUGAUCAGGUGGCUAAACGUUGAUGCUUUUUGAUCAGGUGGCUAGGCAUUGAUGCUCACUGCAGGUUUCAACUGAAUCACUUUGGUUUACUCCAAAAGAGAGGUAUUAGCUUAUAACUACUAUACACUGUGCUCUUUGGUGUCUGAAGGAAAGAAAUAUGCUCUUAGAUAUAUAUUUAAAUAUAUGGUUUCCGUUGCAAUUUAAAAUUGGAUAUAUAUAGUUUUAAGCACACAACACAUAUGCUAAUUUGAAGGUUCAUCACAAUGGAACUCUAUAAUGUCUGAGAGGUCCUCUAUAGUUCCAUCGUCAGGCUUCCCAAGUUUAAUCUUUCUCCAAGAAUUCAAAAAGUUUCCAUAUGGCGGAAGGGAUGUAACACUUCUGAAGUCAUUUGAGUUCCAAGACCUAUAAUCAUGUGGUCAGUUUUUACCGUUUCAAGUUUCAACAGUGGUCACUCCACUUUGGGUCAGCUUGCAUUCAGUUACAUGCCAGUUAAGUUCAAGUUUCUUCGUGCAAGAGCGUGCACCCGAACAUCACCUCUCAAUUUAGCUAUAGAGAUUCUGAAAUGGAGUGAGGAGAGAACAAACAUAUGCGUGAUGUAUACUCUAUGUCCAGUACUUAUCAAGUUCUUCACAAAUCAGUGUAUUCACAUUAAAAACAAGUCUAAUGUAAAUAGUCACCACUAUCUGGAGUAGAGAUUCUUACACAUUGAUCUUAAUUGUUUGAGAUUCAGUUCAGCGCAUUCAUUUCUUUUUUGAACUUGACCAUUGAAGCUCUUCGCAACUAAACCAUGACUUGAACCCCUCUAACCAUCGACUGUUCUCUUUUUUUUUGUGACUAAUCGAGUGUUCUAUAAUGAACGCUGACAUUAACAUUUUAACAAUCUGUGAAACAAAACAACUCAUCCUUCGUAAGUAAUCCUGUUGAGCAGCAUGCAUCAUGAACUAAUAAAAUGUUUUUUUUUGUGCAACAUUAGUUAUCUACUUAAUUAACUUCAUUUGGUAACUAAAUGUCUUUUUUUUAAAAAAAAUUCUCUCGCAAGUUAUCAUGUAAAUACCAUAUGUUUUGAACCAAGUGUUGUCCAAGGUUGAGUCCUCACAAAAAGAGUACGAAAUAUGAGGAAACCAUAAGAGAAGACAAACUAAUACCACAUUAAACAACAACAUGUCAACGUUUUUCAUUUAUGUUCACAAAAAAUUAAAAAAGAGUUUAAAAAUCACAAAAAAUGUAUGAAGUUUAACAAAAACAAUAAAAACUAAAGUUAAUUAGAAGUAAGAAAAAAACUAAUAAUGACAGAAAUUUUACGGAAAUAAAAAUCAAUUAAGUUAUAUCGAAUUAGAAUGUGAUAUUAAUUAAAAACAAUAAAUGUUUUUACUAAAAAUGAAAAUAUGAAAAUAAUGGUUUUGGAUCAUAAUUUUGGACCGAAAAUAUAUUCUAAAUUCCCCUAAACAAUUAAAUAGAUGCAUUAAUCCUUAAUAUUGUAAUCAAGCAUAUAAGAAAAAACAUUACGUUAGAACGUAUAUAAACAUUACAAAAGAUAAAAGAUAGUAUAUGUAAAAUUAAAUAGUAUUUAGUGGUAAAAGUAAAAUAAAUUGAGAAUAUCUAGAUUAUAUUUUUACACUGAUUUUAAUCAAUGAAUAAUAUUUUAACUAUAGUUAGAUUGUCAAAUAUUAUUCUGUUUAUAAUAAAAAUAUAAUAUAUUAAAUAAUAAUAAUUUUGUAGAAUUUUUAGUUAAUUUAACUCAUACAACAUUUUUUUGGAGAAGACAACCGAGAAGAGUUUCCUUACAUUCUAAUAUUAUAAUAUAGAAUCAAUUGACAACAACUUAAUAUGUCCAGUUUAUAUUUCCAAUUAUCACAAAUAUAGAAUCAAUUGACAACAACUUAAUUAUGUCCAGCGUAAGACAACCGAGAAGAGUUUCCUUACAUUCUAAUAUUAUAAUAUCUCACUACAUUAGUGGCUAAAUCAGUUUUCUCUAGCACAAAUACUCACUUCAUUCUUGGAGUUUAAGCUUUUCUAUAUGAUGAUAUUAGUAGUUUGAUCCAAAAAAAAAAACGAUCGAACCGUACAUUGUAAUUGGAGAAAGAAAACAAACAAAAAUCAACCGGAGACUUUUCAGGUAUAUGAAACAAAAAUUAGAAAUCGCAAUUCUCUGCAGUUAAAGAAUAAGGCAAUAAAAUUGUAAAAAUACAAAGAAAGAAAGAUUUAGUAAAAUAAAAUUAUAAUAUAAUUUUCAUAAUUUAUAGUGCUCAGUUAAACUAAAAAGUCUAAAUCUACAACAUACACAGUUUUAUUUACAUCUUUAAACCUAUUAUCUAAUUAAAAUGAUUCUACAAAAAGUGCCAGCACGAAGAGUUAGAAAAUAUAUGAUAAAAUAUAAUACAUAACGUUAAAAUACAUUAUCACUUAUCACUAAAAAAUCAUGUUAGUAGUAAUAAAAA